UACGUAGGUGGCGAGCGUUAUCCGGAUUUAUUGGGUUUAAAGGGUGCGUAGGCGGCUUUAUAAGUCGGUGGUAAAAGGUAGCCGCUUAACGGUUUUACAUGCCAUCGAUACUGUAGAGCUUGAGAUAUUUGGAGGUAGCUAGAAUUCCUGGUGUAGCGGUGAAAUGCAUAGAUACCAGGAGGAAUACCGAUUGCGAAGGCAUGUUACUACGAAUAAACUGACGCUGAUGCACGAAAGCGUGGGGAUCAAACAGG
This 254-nucleotide ribosomal RNA is filed under the name uncultured bacterium. Its description in RNAcentral is "partial 16S ribosomal RNA". It matches the Rfam family "Bacterial small subunit ribosomal RNA", at positions 524 to 776 of the family's 1533-position model. The record is from RNAcentral.